This 1035-nucleotide ribosomal RNA is filed under the name Triticum aestivum (bread wheat). RNAcentral describes it as "partial small subunit ribosomal RNA". The record is from RNAcentral. Lineage: Eukaryota; Viridiplantae; Streptophyta; Magnoliopsida; Poales; Poaceae.
AUGGGAGGAGGCGUCAUGCGCACCGCCGCGAAGGUCGGCCUCGCCGGGGGCGCCGCGGCGGCGGCGGGCCGCUUCCGCAACGUCGCCCCGUCCUUCGCCACGGCGCCCGCCGCCGAGGCCGCGUCGGCGGCGCCGCUGCUGUCCGCGGCCGGGGAGAUCCCCGCGGUGGCGCCGGCCGGGUCGCAGUGGGCGUCCUGGGAGGUGGACGACUGGGAGUUCGCGGACUGGAGGUCCGAGUCGGCGUCCGAGGCGGACGUGGCGGUGGUCGGGGGGCCGAGGCUGGUCUUCGCCCCGCCGUCGCGGGAGGAGGCCGAGGAGGCCACCGCCGAGCUCCGGGAAGCUAUUGACAGGGUUUAUUUUAAAGAGACUCCAGUAGAAGUUGUUAAGGAACAUGAUCAAGAGCUUAGCAAGCUGGGAGCCGAUGCAUUGAUUCCUGCUAUGCCGGGACAUGUAGUGCAGGCUUUUACAUUGUUAAAAUCAAGCCCAGAGGCUCAGAGCGUUGUUGCCUCGCUUGCAUCAGAUAAAAAUGUGUGGGACGCGGUGUUGAAGAAUGAGAGGGUUAUGGAAUUUUACAAGAGUCACCAGCAAAGUAUGUUUCACCUUGUCCUAACCUCAAAAGUUACAUCUUGCGUUUAUUGUUUCUCGCAAACUGUACCCCCAUUAUUUUUCUGUGGGUAUUGUAUGACCAUUACUGUCUUCUCCUGUGAUACAGCUCUGGUCAAUACUUUUCCUGAGGGCACCGACUCUACUGACUCAGUAGAGUCACCGGAGAAAUUUGAAGAGGCAUCCCCAGAAUAUGCACUGCCCACUGCCUCGCCUUUGUCGGACUUUGUGGACAAUGCGAAGAAGACGAUGAUGGAGAUGGUUGACAACAUAACCAACUUUUUCCAAGACCUGUUCCACAACCCGGCAGAAGCUGAGGCCGGACCUGGCUCAUCCUCUAAAAAGCCUUCGUUCGCGGAGAUGGCGGCUGGUGGAUCUUUCAUGGCUCUUGCCAUGGCGGUCAUCCUAGUUGUUCUGUUCAAGAGGGCAUGA